CAAAAUAUCACCUCAUCAUCAUAAGCCAACCAAAACAAUCAAAGAGAGUGAUCCAGCAGCAGUCUACUCUGCAGUAAGAACAGAAGAUGUCAGUUAUGGUCGAAUCAUCAUCAAAGAGAAGAAAACCAGAUCAAAGACAAGAGACUUUAAACCAGAGCCAGACGUCGUCUACUCUUCACUGAAGUAGUCCACCAGUCCAACCACUGACGUCCAGCUGCUGGUCUCUACCUGGACCCCCAGCACCUCAGACCAGUGAACAUCCACAUCUUAUGUGUUAUUUUUUUACUUAUUUAAAAAAUAAGAUUAAAAAAAUCUAUUAAUAAUACAAAUAAAAAAAUGAUAAGUUUGUAAUUUUAACUGGAGUUUUAAAAGUGUUUUUUCCAAAAUCAGUAAUAAUUAUGCAUGUAUAUA
Molecule: long non-coding RNA, 411 nt
Organism: Oreochromis aureus
Lineage: Eukaryota; Metazoa; Chordata; Actinopteri; Cichliformes; Cichlidae
Source: Ensembl